This 253-nucleotide ribosomal RNA is filed under the name uncultured bacterium. RNAcentral's name for it is "partial 16S ribosomal RNA". It matches the Rfam family "Bacterial small subunit ribosomal RNA", at positions 524 to 776 of the family's 1533-position model. The record is from RNAcentral.
UACAGAGGUCUCAAGCGUUGUUCGGAUUCAUUGGGCGUAAAGGGUGCGCAGGCGGCUCGUUAAGUCGGAUGUGAAAUCUCACAGCCUAACUGUGAUAGGUCAUUCGAAACUGGCGGGCUUGAGGGCUGGAGAGGAGACUGGAAUAGUCGGUGUAGCGGUGAAAUGCGUAGAGAUCGACUAGAACACCGGUGGCGAAGGCGGGUCUCUGGACAGUUCCUAACGCUCAUGCACGAAAGCUAGGGGAGCAAACAGG